This is a long non-coding RNA of Salarias fasciatus (jewelled blenny), 642 nucleotides long. RefSeq lists it as uncharacterized. Lineage: Eukaryota; Metazoa; Chordata; Actinopteri; Blenniiformes; Blenniidae. The record is from RefSeq and is a predicted model, not a curated record. The transcript is spliced from 3 exons.
CAGAACUCUGAUCAAUACAGUUAUUGCUCUUUGUAUUGUCUGUGCUGCUUUGGCAGCAAGUUUGACUGUUUCACUGUACCUCAUUUGGACCAAUAAGAAGAAGGAUUCUCACAGUGAUGCUGAACAAGUAAGCAGUGAUCAGCAGAGUGAUGAAGCUUCAUUGACCUAUUCGGCACCAACCUUCAGCAGUAGAAAAGGCAAAACCGAAAGAGGAAACACACACUCGCCUCAGAAAGAGACGAUCUACACUGAUGUGCGUUUUCACUGCUGAAAAAUGUGCACUCUCAACCUGCUCAGUCAUGUGGAUGAAAUAUAUAUUCAGAAGAGCUGAUUGAAGAUAUUGCGAUAAAGUUACAAGUAAGACUCAAGUUCAAGUUAAAUUUACACAAUGUAAAAUACUUUUACAAGUGAUUCAUGUAAAUUUCUAUUCAAAUCAUCAAUGUUCACAAAUAACUGCAUACGACUUGAAUUUAUGUCUGAAAUUAUAAUGAAAUAAUGAUAUUAAACUUUAUUGAAUUGUAUUUUUGCUCGAUUGUGAUUAUCAUGCUGAUUUUGAGGUAAUUUCUCCAUAAAACUGAAUCCACUGUCAAGUUUUAACAUUCACCCAUAUUUUGUUUUCAUUGAUUGCUUUUUCUUGACAUU